RNAcentral lists this long non-coding RNA (460 nucleotides) under Falco tinnunculus (common kestrel). Its description in RNAcentral is "lncRNA (ENSFTIG00000012253.1)". Lineage: Eukaryota; Metazoa; Chordata; Aves; Falconiformes; Falconidae. The record is from RNAcentral.
GGAGAAAACACAAUUAGCGGACUAAGGAAAUGAAUGUAGGUUAUGAGGCUUAUUCUGCCUGUAAUGGAUAUAAAUGUACUCUAAAACUUCAGUUACUGUUAUGGAUCAUGGACAACCGAGCAAAUUAUAUAUUAAACUAAUCGCAGAUGAUGCUACUGAUCGGCAGAGGUCUGCACGGCCUUCCAGAGAGUACAGAUUUCUGCGGAGAAUUGGCCCAUGGUAUGUGCUGUACACGUGCUACUAUACUGACAGCUGGGGAUGUGUCAGAGAAGGUAGAAAGAGAGAGAAGUUUCUCAGAAGACGCGGCACUAUUGGAAAGUCUAAUGGAUCCAGAGGAUGACCAAAUAUGCCUGCUUUGAAAUUCUGGAGAUACCUGACCCAACUGGCUGUUUUGUAUACUCAUCAACAAUACUGCUCUGUAUUCUACCACCCUGUUAUCCCAGACAAGGCACAGGAUUUC